RNAcentral lists this transfer RNA (64 nucleotides) under Mecinus janthinus. RNAcentral describes it as "tRNA-His". Lineage: Eukaryota; Metazoa; Arthropoda; Insecta; Coleoptera; Curculionidae. The record is from RNAcentral.
GCUUAAAUAGUUUAAAUAAAACAUUAAUUUGUGGAAUUAAAAAUAUAUUAAAAUAUUUUAGGCA